Molecule: long non-coding RNA, 387 nt
Organism: Corythoichthys intestinalis (scribbled pipefish)
Lineage: Eukaryota; Metazoa; Chordata; Actinopteri; Syngnathiformes; Syngnathidae
Exons: 4
Source: RefSeq, a predicted model, not a curated record
GUCUGGCUGCAGCCCGCCUCUCUCAGUACCCUGCGCCGCUCUUCUCAGUACCCAUCCCGCAGACAGGAAAUGACGCAACACCGCAGCUCUCAGUCCCCUCAGACCGGAAAUGUCGUCAACCCUUGCGACGAAAACAAGUUACGUUAUUUCACCUCUCGCGAAAAAAACACGCUGCAAGAUCACCACCCCAUUGGGAAGAAACUAAAUCACGACCCCCAAAUGGUAGUCUUCCCAUGCAGAUACAGGGAUGUCACACAGAUCCAAAUGGAAACAGGACCAAUGGUGACAAUAUAAGACCAUGCCGAGCUUCAUGGACGGUUCAAACUCAUCCUGCCCAGGAACGGCUGAAAACGUUGACAGUCAAUCAACAGGGGGACAUGGAAAGAG